Molecule: ribosomal RNA, 315 nt
Filed under: uncultured eukaryote
Lineage: Eukaryota
Description: partial 18S ribosomal RNA
Rfam family: Eukaryotic small subunit ribosomal RNA
Source: RNAcentral
CCCUUAGAUGUUCUGGGCUGCACGCGCGCUACACUAACGCACGCAACAGGUGCCUGCUCCGAGAGGACUGGGUAAUCAUUUGAGUGUGCGUCGUGAUGGGGAUAGAAUAUUGUAAUUAUUACUCUUCAACGAGGAAUUCCUAGUAAGCGCCAGUCAGCAGCUUGCGCUGAUUACGUCCCUGCCCUUUGUACACACCGCCCGUCGCUCCUACCGAUGGGUGAUCCGGUGAAUGAUUCGGACUUCAGCGGCUCCCCUGGGGUGCGCCGGAGAAAGUUUUGUGAACCUUAUCACUUGGAGGAAGGAGAAGUCGUAACA